RNAcentral lists this unclassified non-coding RNA (336 nucleotides) under soil metagenome. RNAcentral's name for it is "partial contains 5.8S ribosomal RNA, internal transcribed spacer 2, and large subunit ribosomal RNA". The stretch from base 1 to 120 matches the Rfam family "5.8S ribosomal RNA", at positions 35 to 154 of the family's 154-position model. The record is from RNAcentral.
GAUGAAGAACGUAGCGAAAUGCGAUCAGUAAUGUGAAUUGCAGAAUUCAGUGAAUCAUCGAAUCUUUGAACGCACAUUGCGCCCGCCAGUAUUCUGGCGGGCAUGCCUGUUCGAGCGUCAUUUCAACCAUCAAGCCCCAGGCUUGUGUUGGGGACCUGCGGCUGCCGCAGGCCCUGAAAACCAGUGGCGGGCUCGCUGUCACACCGGGCGUAGUAGAUUUUAUCUCGCUCAGGGCGUGCUGCGGGUUCCGGCCGUUAAAAAGCCUUUUUUACCCAAGGUUGACCUCGGAUCAGGUAGGAAGACCCGCUGAACUUAAGCAUAUCAAUAAGCGGAGGA